AUUGAACGCUGGCGGCAGGCCUAACACAUGCAAGUCGAACGGUAACAGCGAGCCGCUUGCUGCUUUGCUGACGACUGGCGGGCGGGUGAGUCAUGUCUGGUCAACUGCCUGCUGGGGGGGGAUCUCUACUGGAUACGGUAGAUACUACCGCAUAACGUCGCAAGACCAGGGAGGUGGACCAUUGGGGCUGUUGCGAUUGGGUUCGCCCCGAUGGGACUAGCUAGUAGGUGGGGUAACGGCUAACCUAGGCGACGGUCCCUAGCAGGUCUGAGAGGAUGACCAGGCACACUGGAACUGAGACACGGUCCAGACUCCUGCGGGAGGCAGCAGUGGGGAAUAUUGCACAAGGGGCGCAAGCCGGAUGCAGCCAUGCCGCGUGUAGGAAGAAGGCCUUCGGGUGGUAAAGUACUUUCGGCGGGGAGGAAGGGAGUAAAGUUAAUACCGUUGCUCAUUGACGUUACCCGCAGAAGAAGCACCGGCUAACUCCGUG
This 490-nucleotide ribosomal RNA is filed under the name uncultured bacterium. RNAcentral describes it as "partial 16S ribosomal RNA". It matches the Rfam family "Bacterial small subunit ribosomal RNA", at positions 28 to 507 of the family's 1533-position model. The record is from RNAcentral.